UAAAUUUUUUUUUUUUUUUUUUAACUCAGCCCAUGCAGUGUAUAUUAAGAUUCUAGGACACUGUAGCAGGACUCUCAUCUAAUUAUUGCAUAGAUACACACUAAAACACGGCUAUCUCAUUUUAACUCUUAAUAUCUCAAACUCAACCCGGUAUAUCCUUUUUUCUAGUGCAGAGCAUAUUAUGAUUACAAGACACUGUAGCUUAAUUGUCAUCUUAUCCUUAGAUAAACAUGGGAAGCUCAUUUUAACUCUUAAUAUCUCAAA
This 264-nucleotide unclassified non-coding RNA is filed under the name Hevea brasiliensis (rubber tree). The record is from RNAcentral. Lineage: Eukaryota; Viridiplantae; Streptophyta; Magnoliopsida; Malpighiales; Euphorbiaceae.